ACCCUGGUCCUGGAGAGCUGCAGGGUCUGCUGGUUUUCAUGGUGACUCUGCACUUCAUGAAUCAAUUAGAACCGUUGAUUACACAGUUAACUCAACUCACCUGGUGUCUUGGGUCUCAAUUGGGUGCUGAUUUUAAGGUGAAAACAAAAACCAGCAGACCCUGUAGCUCUCCAGGACCAGGGUUGGAGACUACUGCUUUAGUCCAUGGUCCAUAUUUGGAAGGGAGACACCUGAUUCAACUAAUUAGCUAAUCAUGGUCAUGUUCUUCAAUCAAGACCUCGAUUAGCAGACUCAGGUGUUUGAGUGUUGGGUCCUUCAGAUUCAGACACGUGUUGCCGGGAAAUUGUUAGAGACUUGAGGAAAUAGUGAGAAGGCCCAGGAUCGAAAGACAUUGGAGGCAAAUUACUCAGGUUUUCUUUUCUUUUCUUUUUUGUGGAGAACUGUGGUUUUGUUUUGGGAACGUUGGUUACAGUGAGGCACUGUUUUGUGUUUUGCUGCUUCUUUGCAAAGCUUCCAGCAGUUUUUCUAAUCUUGCUCUCAUCAUUUACCCCAAAGGGAUCUUUUCUUCCCCCCCCCCCCCUCUUUGAUAAUUGUUUUGCAUGCAAAAAAACAUUUGAACAACAACAACGACAACAACAGCAACACUCCUCUAGGCUGGCCAAUAAGAACGACCUUGCCGCUUCUACUCUGAAUCAUCACCCACUGCCCACGGACCCCGGCCUGCUCAGCUGCGCCGUCGCCACGGCAACCAGCGCUCCCGAGGGGGGGGGGCGGCGAGGCGUUCUGCGGUUGCCUCAUGCCGAAGAUGAACAGGCAGUGGAAAUGUGUGCUCGGUUACUGAGGCGACCCUGGGGGUUUUGCUGACCCUAAUGCGCUCCAGCGUAAAUCACACCCACCUUAGAUUGUGUGGCCCUGGAAUGGAUUGAGCCUAAAGGACUGCACGGUGUUUAUGCUAGCAGCUAGCUCUGCUAAGACACAGCAACCCCCCCCAGGAGACGUGUAUGGAGCAGGACCUUGGAGAGCGCGCGGAGACGAGCGGGCAGGCCUACCUUGCGCAGAGCAGCUCACGCGCUAAGCUCUUCCAACAGGU
Molecule: long non-coding RNA, 1090 nt
Organism: Anguilla rostrata (American eel)
Lineage: Eukaryota; Metazoa; Chordata; Actinopteri; Anguilliformes; Anguillidae
Exons: 4
Source: RefSeq, a predicted model, not a curated record